ACUACGGGUGGCAGCAGUGGGGAAUAUUGGGCAAUGGGCGCAAGCCUGACCCAGCAACGCCGCGUGAAGGAAGAAGGCUUUCGGGUUAUAAACUUCUUUUGUCAGGGACGAAGCAAGUGACGGUACCUGACGAAUAAGCCACGGCUAACUACGUGCCAGCAGCCGCGGUAAUACGUAGGUGGCAAGCGUUAUCGGGAUUUACUGGGUGUAAAGGGCGUGUAGGCGGGGAAGCAAGUCAGAUGUGAAAACCACGGGCUCAACCUGUGGCCUGCAUUUGAAACUGUUUUUCUUGAGUGCUGGAGAGGCAAUCGGAAUUCCGUGUGUAGCGGUGAAAUGCGUAGAUAUACGGAGGAACACCAGUGGCGAAGGCGGAUUGCUGGACAGUAACUGACGCUGAGGCGCGAAAGCGUGGGGAGCAAACAGGAUUAGAUACCCUAGUAGUC
RNAcentral lists this ribosomal RNA (443 nucleotides) under uncultured bacterium. RNAcentral describes it as "partial 16S ribosomal RNA". It matches the Rfam family "Bacterial small subunit ribosomal RNA", at positions 338 to 795 of the family's 1533-position model. The record is from RNAcentral.